AGUGGCAGACGGGUGAGUAACAUGUAGGUAUCUGCCCUUUGGCCUGGAAUAACACGAGGAAACUUGUGCUAAUACCGGAUAAGUCUUUACGGAGAAAGCUUUAUGCACCAUUGGAUGAGCCUGCACUUGAUUAGUUUGUUGGUGGGGUAAUGGCCUACCAAGACUGUGAUCAAUAGCUGAUUUGAGAGGAUGAUCAGCCACAUUGGGACUGAGACACGGCCCAAACUCCUACGGGAGGCAGCAGUGGGGAAUCUUGCACAAUGGAGGAAACUCUGAUGCAGCGAUGCCGCGUGAGUGAAGAAGGCCCUUGGGUUGUAAAGCUCUUUCGUCGGGGAAGAAAAUGACUGUACCCGAAUAAGAAGGUCCGGCUAACUUCGUGCCAGCAGCCGCGGUAAUACGAAGGGACCUAGCGUAGUUCGGAAUUACUGGGCUUAAAGAGUUCGUAGGUGGUUGAAAAAGUUGGUGGUGAAAUCCCAGAGCUUAACUCUGGAACUGCCAUCAAAACUUUUCAGCUAGAGUUUGAUAGAGGAAAGCAGAAUUUCUAGUGUAGAGGUGAAAUUCGUAGAUAUUAGAAAGAAUACCGAUUGCAAAGGCAGCUUUCUGGAUCAUUACUGACGCUGAGGAACGAAAGCAUGGGUAGCGAAGAGGAUUAGAUACCCUCGUAGUCCAUGCCGUAAACGAUGUGUGUUAGACGUUGGAAAUUUAUUUUCAGUGUCGCAGCGAAAGCGAUAAACACACCGCCU
RNAcentral lists this ribosomal RNA (743 nucleotides) under uncultured Alphaproteobacteria bacterium. Its description in RNAcentral is "bacterial SSU rRNA". It matches the Rfam family "Bacterial small subunit ribosomal RNA", at positions 94 to 874 of the family's 1533-position model. Lineage: Bacteria; Pseudomonadati; Pseudomonadota; Alphaproteobacteria. The record is from RNAcentral.